This 429-nucleotide ribosomal RNA is filed under the name bacterium. RNAcentral describes it as "partial 16S ribosomal RNA". It matches the Rfam family "Bacterial small subunit ribosomal RNA", at positions 355 to 776 of the family's 1533-position model. The record is from RNAcentral.
UAGGGAAUCUUCCACAAUGGACGCAAGUCUGAUGGAGCAACGCCGCGUGAGUGAAGAAGGUUUUCGGAUCGUAAAGCUCUGUUGUUGGUGAAGAAGGAUAGAGGUAGUAACUGGCCUUUAUUUGACGGUAAUCAACCAGAAAGUCACGGCUAACUACGUGCCAGCAGCCGCGGUAAUAUGUAGGUGGCAAGCGUUUUCCGGAUUUAUUGGGCGUAAAGCGAGCGCAGGCGGAAGAAUAAGUCUGAUGUGAAAGCCCUCGGCUUAACCGAGGAACUGCAUCGGAAACUGUUUUUCUUGAGUGCAGAAGAGGAGAGUGGAAUUCCAUGUGUAGCGGUGGAAUGCGUAGAUAUAUGGAAGAACACCAGUGGCGAAGGCGACUCUCUGGUCUGCAACUGACGCUGAGGCUCGAAAGCAUGGGUAGCGAACAGG